GAAUCAGAAAAUUAAAAACAAAUCGAGAGAAAAAAUGAGAUGAUUAAAACGAUGAGAUAAUUAAGAAAGUUGAAUUUGUUUUCUUUUCUAUUCUCUUUGGAAUAGAAAAUGAAAAAUGAAAUGUCGACAGUAAAAUAGAAAGAGAAAAAGAAAAGAAAAGAAAGACUGAUGACUAAUCACCGGUUCUCUUAUCAUUUCAAUUUCCAUUUUUUAACCGAAUUUUAAUUGUCGCCAUUUAAAUUAUUCUUAACUUUGUUCUUAUUCAUUUUUUAUCUCCUUUAUUUUCGUGAUUCAGGUCACCAUGCGAUUUAUUUCCUUCUAAUCAAUUUACCUUCUCACCUUUAAAUUAUCGUCCAACUGGUUAAUCACAAUUAAGAAACAAAAAUCAACUUUGACAUUUUCUCCUUCUACUGGUCAACCUUUUAGGCCUAAUUUUUGUCUAUAUUGGUUUGGAUUUAUCUUAUUUCUUCGCUAUCUAUUCAUUGAAAUUCUCAUGGAUUCAUUUUUAUGGUUUCAAUUCAUUUCUUUUUGGUUCCCCUGAUAAUCAAUGUGUUCAUUAUUCACUUUAAUCAUGCAAUUCUAAGCUGAACAAACUCAUGGUAUCAUCGUGCUUAAAGCUUAAACAAUCUAAAUAUGAACACCAAGAAGAAGUUAAAAAAAGGAUCAGUCUUGUCUGUCUCUAACUCGAGAAUGUAAAUAUUAUCAUGUAACAAGAUUCUGAUUAUCAGAAUUACUUUAUAACGAGAAUUAACUCAAAUGACCUUGUCAAGGAACCAAAGAUAUUUAAUGGACUAUAAUGAUGAUAAAAAAUGAUGAUGGAAAGUAUAAGAUUUAAUCAACCAACCCACCGAGUAACUUAUAUUUUUUGUUUCAAGAUUCCAAUAAUAUUUUCAAUUGCCAAUGACUGAUAAUUUUAUGGGUAAACUUGGAAAAAUGGAUUAACCUUUGAUUGUUCUUUAAGCCAACACCUUAAACAUGAUCAUCAGAUGUUUCAAUUGGAGUUAAUUGUCGAGUUUAAUAACAUUAUCUGAAAUGGAUCAAUUACCUUUAAAUAAUCAAUUGGGUAUUAAUCAAUUAACAUUUUUUUCUGUCAAUAAAUCGUUGACUGAUUUUGGAAUACAACUUUUUCCUCUCUCACUCAUAGAUUUGAUUAGUGUUUCAUCUGUUAAUUUAAUUAUUCUUUAAAUCUUUGAGCACCACCAAUAGAAAAAUUUUAUUAGAAGUUAUUUUUCUCUUUAGGUUCGAAGAUUUUGUUUCACAAUUCCAUUAAUUGUUGUUGAUUUUGUUACUCCAUUUAUCCUAAACGAUCAUUUCCAAUUCUCUUGCGUAUUCCAAUGUUUUACAGGCUAAUUGUUCACAUGAAAUCUCAUUAUUGAAAG
Panonychus citri (citrus red mite) is the source of this 1379-nucleotide long non-coding RNA. RefSeq lists it as uncharacterized. The transcript is spliced from 4 exons. NCBI's taxonomy places the organism in Eukaryota, Metazoa, Arthropoda, Arachnida, Trombidiformes, Tetranychidae. The record is from RefSeq and is a predicted model, not a curated record.